This 74-nucleotide transfer RNA is filed under the name Konosirus punctatus (Konoshiro gizzard shad). Its description in RNAcentral is "tRNA-Lys". It matches the Rfam family "tRNA". Rfam says of the family: Transfer RNA (tRNA) molecules are approximately 80 nucleotides in length. Their secondary structure includes four short double-helical elements and three loops (D, anti-codon, and T loops). Further hydrogen bonds mediate the characteristic L-shaped molecular structure. tRNAs have two regions of fundamental functional importance: the anti-codon, which is responsible for specific mRNA codon recognition, and the 3' end, to which the tRNAs corresponding amino acid is attached (by aminoacyl-tRNA synthetases). tRNAs cope with the degeneracy of the genetic code in two manners: having more than one tRNA (with a specific anti-codon) for a particular amino acid; and 'wobble' base-pairing, i.e. permitting non-standard base-pairing at the 3rd anti-codon position. The record is from RNAcentral. Lineage: Eukaryota; Metazoa; Chordata; Actinopteri; Clupeiformes; Clupeidae.
CACUAGGAAGCUAAAUCGGGCCUAGCGCCAGCCUUUUAAGCUGGAGACUGGUGGCCCCCAACCACCUCUAGUGA